RNAcentral lists this long non-coding RNA (636 nucleotides) under Marmota monax (woodchuck). Lineage: Eukaryota; Metazoa; Chordata; Mammalia; Rodentia; Sciuridae. The record is from RNAcentral.
AUUUUUAAAAAAGAAUACAAAGGAAAAGAAAAGAAAAUCACCACCUGACAAUGACCAUAGUGAAUUGUCUUGGGUGGGACUCAUCAAUGAAUGCUAAAACACUUAGUAAGUGAAAGUUUGAUAAGAAAUGGGGUAUUUACAUAAUCUCAAUGUAUGUAAGAUACUCCCCAAAGAAAAGAAUUGUGUAACUCUACAAUAGAGAAACCUGGCAGACACCACUUUAAAUCAGUGAUCAAACUUAACAUUACAAUGAGAGCAAAUAGACAUCAGAUGCCUUCUGAAAAGGGCACACAUGUAUUUAGUUCCUGCUGAAAAUGGAUAACCUUAAUCUAAUCAUGGAACAGACAACUCCGACAAAUCCAAAUUGGAAGACUAUACAAAAUGGCCUGUAUUCAAAUAAAUGUAAGGUUAAGAAAAAUAAAGACCAAGGAACUAUUCCAGAGUAAAGGAGACUAAAGAGACAUGACCACUAAAUGCAGCAAAUGAUUCCAAAUCAUAUUCUGAGCCAUUAUGUGUUUUUUACAUAUAUAUAUAUAUAUACACACAUAUAUACACAUACAGAGAGAGAGAGAGAGAGAGAGAGAGAGAGAGAGAGAGAGAGAGAUGGAGAUAGAAAAUCACCACCUGGCAAUAAGC